Molecule: small RNA, 134 nt
Filed under: Arabidopsis thaliana (thale cress)
Lineage: Eukaryota; Viridiplantae; Streptophyta; Magnoliopsida; Brassicales; Brassicaceae
Description: ATSL043700
Source: RNAcentral
UUUAUUUUGUUAAUAUUGUCAGUAUUAUUUAGUUUUUAAAAUUGUAUAGUUGUAUUUUGAUUGUUAUAUCUAUGAUUUUACCCGUAGUAUGUCGUCCCGUAUUAAUAUAUUUAUAAUAUUUAAACUUCUUAUAA